GACGAACGCUGGCGGCGUGCUUAACACAUGCAAGUCGAACGCUGAAGCUCAGCUUUUGUUGGGUGGAUGAGUGGCGAACGGGUGAGUAACACGUGAGUAACCUGCCUCCUUCUUUGGGAUAACGCCCGGAAACGGGUGCUAAUACUGGAUAUUCACUGGUCUUCGCAUGGGGGUUGGUGGAAAGGGUUUUUCUGGUGGGGGAUGGGCUCGCGGCCUAUCAGCGUGUUGGUGGGGUGAUGGCCGACCAAGGCUUUGACGGGUAGCCGGCCUGAGAGGGUGACCGGUCACAUUGGGACGGAGAUCCGGCCCAGAAUCCUACGAGAGGCAGCAGUGGGGAAGAUUGCACAAUGGGGGAAAGCCUGAUGCAGCGACGCCGCGUGAGGGAUGGAGGCCUUGGGGUUGUGAACCUCUUUCGCUCAUGGUCAAGCCGCAACAAUGGUUGUGGUGAGGGUAGUGGGUAAAGAAGCGCCGGCUAACUACGUG
This 483-nucleotide ribosomal RNA is filed under the name uncultured bacterium. RNAcentral describes it as "partial 16S ribosomal RNA". It matches the Rfam family "Bacterial small subunit ribosomal RNA", at positions 28 to 507 of the family's 1533-position model. The record is from RNAcentral.